Molecule: long non-coding RNA, 219 nt
Filed under: Gossypium barbadense (sea-island cotton)
Lineage: Eukaryota; Viridiplantae; Streptophyta; Magnoliopsida; Malvales; Malvaceae
Description: long non-coding RNA (GBAR_LNC015123)
Source: RNAcentral
AAAGCCACAACCAAUUUGUAAUACGGGACACAAAAAAAAUUACAAAAAAGCAGAGAGUUUGAAAUAGACUCAAAUAUCAAAAGGUGUUGUUUUUUUAUUUUUAUUUUUUGAAAUAGAUAAAUAAAAAAUAAUAAUAACUUACCUAUCGGUUCGUCUCCCCUCACUGUUGAACAUUGUCGGCGUCUGAUGAGGGUUUAAAAGGCGACGAGGGCCCUUUUU